This 484-nucleotide ribosomal RNA is filed under the name uncultured bacterium. Its description in RNAcentral is "bacterial SSU rRNA". It matches the Rfam family "Bacterial small subunit ribosomal RNA", at positions 1 to 518 of the family's 1533-position model. The record is from RNAcentral.
AGAAUUGAUCUGGUCAGGAUUAACGCUGGCGGCGUAGCCUAACACAUGCAAGUCGAACGAAAUAUCUUCGGAUAUUAGUGGCGAACGGGUGAGUAAUGUACAGGUAAUGUACCUUCGUACUGCGAAUAACAAGCUGAAAAGUUUGCUAAUACGGAAUAGUUUCAUUAGGGGGCAUCCUUUGAUGAAUAAAGAUUUAUCGUGCGGAGAUCAGCCUGUAUCCUAUUAGUUAGUUGGUGGGGUAAUGGCCUACCAAGACGACGAUGGGUAACUGGUCUGAGAGGAUGAGCAGUCACAUUGGAACUGAGAUACGGUCCAAACUCCUACGGGAGGCAGCAGUGAGGAAUUUUGCGCAAUGGGGGAAACCCUGACGCCAGCAACGCCGCGUGAGUGAAGACGGCCUUCGGGUUGUAAAGCUCUGUCGUGUAUGACGAGUAGGGACGGUAAUACACAAGGAAGCCUCGGCUAACUACGUGCCAGCCGCCGC